Molecule: ribosomal RNA, 616 nt
Filed under: uncultured Actinomycetes bacterium
Lineage: Bacteria; Bacillati; Actinomycetota; Actinomycetes
Description: bacterial SSU rRNA
Rfam family: Bacterial small subunit ribosomal RNA
Source: RNAcentral
UGCUGGGUUGGAUGAGUGGCGAACGGGUGAGUAACACGUGAGUAACCUGCCCCCUUCUUUGGGAUAACGGUCGGAAACGGCUGCUAAUACCGGGUAUUCACUGUCCUUCGCAUGGGGGGUGGUGGAAAGGUUUUUUCUGGUGGGGGAUGGGCUCGCGGCCUAUCAGCUUGUUGGUGGGGUGAUGGCUUACCAAGGCUUUGACGGGUAACCGGCCUGAGAGGGUGACCGGUCACAUUGGGACUGAGAUACGGCCCAGACUCCUACGGGAGGCAGCAGUGGGGAAUAUUGCACAAUGGGCGAAAGCCUGAUGCAGCGACGCCGCGUGAGGGAUGACGGCCUUCGGGUUGUAAACCUCUUUCGCUCAUGGUCAAGCCGCAACAGUGGUUGUGGUGAGGGUAGUGGGUAAAGAAGCACCGGCUAACUACGUGCCAGCAGCCGCGGUAAUACGUAGGGUGCGAGCGUUGUCCGGAAUUAUUGGGCGUAAAGGGCUUGUAGGCGGUUUGUCGCGUCUGCCGUGAAAUCCUCUGGCUUAACUGGGGGCGUGCGGUGGGUACGGGCAGGCUUGAGUGCGGUAGGGGAGACUGGAACUCCUGGUGUAGCGGUGGAAUGCGCAGAU